Molecule: ribosomal RNA, 779 nt
Filed under: uncultured Neocallimastigales
Lineage: Eukaryota; Fungi; Neocallimastigomycota; Neocallimastigomycetes; Neocallimastigales
Description: partial large subunit ribosomal RNA
Rfam family: Eukaryotic large subunit ribosomal RNA
Source: RNAcentral
UAUCUCUGUAGAGUCUGCAUAUCAAUAAGCGGAGGAAAAGAAACUAACUAGGAUUCCCUCAGUAACGGCGAGUGAAGCGGGAAGAGCUCAAAUUUGAAAUCUUCAAGGUUCUACCUUGACGAAUUGUAGUUUAAAGAAGUGUUUUCUGUUGAAGUUUUGGUAAAAGUUCUUUGGAAUAGGACAUCAUAGAGGGUGAGAAUCCCGUAUUUGACCAGUUAUUUUCCAGCUGUGUGAUACACUUUCAAAGAGUCGGAUUGUUUGGGAAUGCAGUCCAAAAGUGGGUGGUAAAUUUCAUCUAAAGCUAAAUACUGGCGAGAGACCGAUAGCGAACAAGUACCGUGAGGGAAAGAUGAAAAGAACUUUGAAAAGAGAGUUAAACAGUACGUGAAAUUGUCAAAAGGGAAGCGUUUGACACCAGUGUUGUUUUCUCGAAAAUCAAUUAAAAAUGGCUAUGAUUUUGUGUUGUAUUGACUUUAUCAAGCUUUCUGCACUUUUUUCCUGUCUUUUUUAAUGCACUUUUCGUUUAACAAGUCAACAUCAGUUUCUUUUGUUGUAAAAGGGUCAUUGGAAGGUGGCUUUCUUUUCGGAGAAAGUGUUUAUAGCCUUUGACUCCUGCAAUCGGAGAGACUGAGGUCUGCAGCAUAGAUCCUCUUGGAUUAGAUUCAUUUGUGCUAAGUUAUAGCUUUUUAUAGACAACUUGUUGACUAUAUUUAGUCUUGUAGCUUACUCGCUUAUGUAAUUUUACCUACGCUUAGGAUGUUGAACGCGCACAGAGUCUC